This is a long non-coding RNA of Lolium perenne, 2144 nucleotides long. RefSeq lists it as uncharacterized. Lineage: Eukaryota; Viridiplantae; Streptophyta; Magnoliopsida; Poales; Poaceae. The record is from RefSeq and is a predicted model, not a curated record.
UGACUGGGUGUAGAAAAUUCUGUUGCUCUCUCCCAUCCUCCAUCGACAUCUCAUUCUCCGCCACCGCUUAAUCCUGGAUAACUACGGAGGGCGCCGCCUUGCGCACGUCUAAUACAUGGCCUGGGCGGUCGCUGGAUGUGGACGCGAAGGCGUCGGAUCGAGUGGCGCCGGUGUCAUGGCUGACGGAAUCGUUACCAGAGGCGGCGUCGGCCCUCGCUCCCCCUCCCCCCGCGCGCUCCAUCGGCGCAAGCCCUAGCCCGCUAUCAUUCUCUGCAGCCUCCUCUACGUUAGUUCCCUGCCGCCAUUGCCCCGGGCAUCGCGGUUCGACCUGAGGAGCAGUGUCUCCCGGCUGCGAUUGGCAAAGAGUACCGGGACGGAGGUGCUCGAGGAGUAGGACGGCGAGCGAUGUCCCGGGCGCGCUAGAGUCCCGCCGCCAUCGUCCGAGCUCAGCCACGCUCGCGGCGGCAAUCACGCGACGGAAAAUUUUUCUGAAUGGGCGAUAAGAUGAUUUCAGUUGCAUCCUGCUGUACAAAAUCUGCGUGGUCUGGUCUUCAAGUAGAGGUCUCCUGGAAAGUGGUAAGAGAGUACGUUCUUAUCUUAUGUUUCCUAUGUUUCUUUUCAAGCGAUCUGUAUCAGAGUAGCUAUACUAUUGAUCUGUUGUUUCUUAUGUGAAAUUUCGUAGGUUCGUAGCCUCUCAUGACUCAUGGUUUCGUUUCUCUUCAUGCCGCCAUAUUCUUCCGCACUUGGUUGAUUCCACCUCUUGUGUCUAACUCGAGGUGACCGGAUCUGUCCUAUCACAAGGACGCUCCGCCGGAGUGUAGAGCUGGCCGGCUCGGCCGCGCUCUCCAUUUGUGCCUCAUCUGUCGAUUUCGCCUCUUACGCAGCUGUUAGAUUAAUUUGUCUGGUUCAGUGGUUGCCUCUGCCCUGCGGCCGUUGCCGUACUUCACCUGGACGGUCCAAUGUCUGUCCGUCGUUCUUGCCGCCUUGACAGUCAUUUGCUUUGCAUCAGGUUGCUUCCUUGCCCAUCCUUUGCUUUGCAUCAGGUUGCUUCCUUGCCCGUCCUUUUCCUUUACAUCAGGUUGAACCGUUGAGGUGUUUUUUGGCAGCCCACUCUGUUUUGCUUCUGCUCUGCGGCCAGGGGAGCCGUCGACAUCAUUGUCUGUUAAUGCUCCACAUCGGCUAGAGGUUAGAAGUGCAAACAUGGGGAUUUCAUCGAUCAAGGAUGUGUCGGGCCCAAGCUACCGGUGGAAAGACAUUUUGCUCAUUGCAUGGUUCUAGGAAUAAAAGUAUCAAGAAACACAUCAAAAUUUAUAUAAGUUGGACUUCACUUUGUUGGCCGUGAGGUUUAGUCGUCCCUGUGGCAGUUGUGGUCGAUGAUGAAGGCAGCGGCGUCUUCCCGGCCGCGGUGAACGGGCAUGCUUUUGUCCUCCUUGGUGCCUGUCGUAAGCCGAGUUCUCUGUCCUGGCGAUGAGGAGGGGCGAGCUGCGGAUGGCCAGGAUCAACGCGUUGCUAGAUAGUAUUCUGUUAUGUAUAGCCAGAGGACCAUGAAAGAUACAUAAGGUUUCCGGUAUAAUUAUCCCUUCUAUAUUUCUUACUUACACUGAUUUAUUCAGUAGAGAUUUUGACCAGAUAUAAAGUAUCUGCCCGCAACAUACUAUACUGAUGUAUAAUCAAAUUUGCAGAGCUUGCAUUGGCAUUGUAGAAGACGAUACUUUGGUCUUUGACUAUAUAGUAGAUUUGACGCUGAAAGUGACCAUCUUCAGGUACAAUAGAUGCGAGAAGAUCCAGGACCACCGUGCUUAGAGAUCAACGUGAAAUAAUCUUUUGUUCAUCGGUAUAGCAAUCAUGCUAUGACUUAGGUUCUCUAUAUAUAAUAGUUCUUUUGCAUUACCCUCUGAGAUUACCAAUUGAUCAUCCAUUGCAGUACGAUGAUCAAUAUGCAGGAGUUAUUAUUACGAGACUGAAUUUAUGUGUGUCUCUGAUGCCCGCUUAUUUACUUGGUCCUCAAGAUCAACCUUUUAUGCACAAAAUUUGUGUGUACCUUGUAUCAGAUUUUAUCACCAACCAUCUUAAAACCCAUUGUUUAAACCAGUGAAUCUUCAUUACUUCCAUCAAUUCAAGUGUGGGUUUAAAAUUAUUACUGC